UCAUUAUUGUUUGCCAGUGUUAGUAA
Molecule: small RNA, 26 nt
Filed under: Bombyx mori (domestic silkworm)
Lineage: Eukaryota; Metazoa; Arthropoda; Insecta; Lepidoptera; Bombycidae
Description: ovarian small RNA-26322
Source: RNAcentral